Lycium ferocissimum is the source of this 2594-nucleotide long non-coding RNA. RefSeq lists it as uncharacterized. The transcript has 3 exons. The record is from RefSeq and is a predicted model, not a curated record. Lineage: Eukaryota; Viridiplantae; Streptophyta; Magnoliopsida; Solanales; Solanaceae.
GAAACCGAUUAAGGAUAAAAGUGAACCGAAUGGGUGAUUUGAGAUUGUUGAAAGCUUGUGGCUAACUUGUGAGCCAUAAAUGAAAAUUGACACAUAUGUUUGGACAUGUUUUGAUGUGUUUGAGAUAUCUAAAUGUAGAUAUUGGCUUUUUGGCGACAUUUGAGCAUUUUAACCAAUUUGGAGCAUCAUAGUAGUAUCUUGGAGCUUGAAGUUGAGGUUGAGGUGUGGCACGUGAUAAUCGGACAAGGCUAGGAUGACUCUCUUCCCAAGAUUAAGGUGUGAUGAGUUGAGUUCAAUGUGGUUAAUGGAUAGAUCGUUAUAAGGUAUGUAAAGGAUAUUCCCUUUCUUUUCUUGGCAUGAUUCUAGUUUCGGAGAGGAUCCGAACAAGCUUAUUGAAAGAAUAACUCAAAUCUUUAUUCAAGCAUUAGUAUAUCACUAAUAGCAUAUCAUUGUGUGUCCCUUGUCGGGAGUACAUCUCAGUCUAUACAUUAUUGUGAUUGGCUGUUGAGAUAGAAAAUAUAUGCAUAUUAGAGUAUUUGCCUUCGAGGCUAUAUUAGUCUUUCUUUCAAGGCUAUGCUACUCUUGCCUUCGGGGCUAUAUUACUCUUGCCUUCGGGGCUACAUUACUGUUGCCUUCGGGGAUAUGUUACUCUUGCCUUCAAAGCGAUGUUACUCUUGCCUUCGGGGAUAUCUAAAAAUGGAGUUUAUCAAGAGGUAAUUUUACUAUUCAAUCUUUCUAUAUUGCGUAUAAAUGAGUACAAAGAAGACGUUUUGGAGCAAAAAUCAUGAUAUAAUUAAGGUAUUGGAUGAACCCUAAAAGUGGGUUUUGUGAAGGAGAUUGAGUAGUUAGUAGGAUGAUGAAUAGUGACUUGUUGGUAGUGGGUAAUUGAUGUAGUAUCUUAAUGAUCCCAAAUGCAUGUUACAUGCUUAGAAUGAAACUGAUUAAGGAUAAAAGUCAACUGAAUGGGCGAUUUGAGAUUGUUGAAAGCUUGUCGGUAACUUGUGAGAUGUAAAUGAAAAUUGACAGAGAUGUUUUGAUGUGUUUGAUUUAUCUAAAUGUAGAUAUCGACUGUUGGUGAUGUUUGAGCAUUUUAACCAAUUUGGAACGUCGUAGUAAUAUCUUGGAGCUUGAAGUUGAGGUAAGUUAAGACUUGCUCUUCUUGUGGUGUUUGGUCUACAUGUUUACAAAUGAAUUAUGUAUAAAUGUGAGUCCGUGCUUGUCGGGGACAGCGAGUGCGAGUCUCUCCAUAUUUUAUAAUUAUAUUGCAUAUAAAGUACCAUUGAUUUAUAAACAAUAAAUUGACAUGGAAAUAUAGCGAUGAAGCUAAUUGUUGAAGUGGCAGAAGUAAAAUCUCAUUAGUUUAUGAAGGCUUGCAUUAAUGCUAAAGGAAUGGAAAGGAAUUUAAGUAAAGAUUUUAAAUUUGUCUUAAAUAAAGUAUUGUGUCGAAAGUGCUAUUUCUUUUGAAUAAAUUAUAUUCAUUGGUAUUUAUACUUUUAAGAACUAAAUGGAUUGAAAAUAACACUUGUUGAAUACUAAGUAUUUUAAAUUCUCAUUUGAUAAUUUUAUUUUAGUAUAUUUGAGAAAAGGUUUACAUUUGAUUAUGUUCAAAAUGAGUUGGAUUGGCUAUGAAUGCCAUGAUUUGAUGUAAAAAGAAAAAAGAUCUUUUCGAGCUAAUAUGCUAUGAAUCUCUAUCUAAAUACCAAAUAUUUUGGGAGUUACUUGUGAUCACCGAGAUUGGUUUCAGAUACAUUCUGAUUGUCGCCAUGAAACUACACUUGCCGGUGUAGGCAUGGGCUCUACCUAAUGGUAAAGCGCUACGCAGAGUGCCCCCAUGAGAGGGUAGUGUUGUGCUAUAAUAGCAUGACUGAGUCAAUUCGUACGACACUACGAUGAGACGACCUAAGCAAGUACGGUGUACGAUACUUGCCGCUAGGUUGAUCACCUAGUUGACCUUGGAUCUUGUGUCGGUGUUGGUAUAGUGCUCCCGGUGAAAGGUAAUAAAGGAUUUGAUUACAUUUAGGCCUAAGGAGCCAAAAGUGAUUUCAAAUGAUUCACUGAAUUAAUUUAAAUCAGGUUUGAGAAGAUUCUCGUGUAUUCAUUAUUUAAUGUUUUUUAGGUUGAUGUGAAAUAGAGCUUACACGUGACUUUCAAUUUCAAAUAUUGAAAUUGUGACUUGAUAUAAAUGUUUUCUAUUAGUGAUACUUGCAUUGAUUUCCCAAUAAAAUCUUGUCCCAGCUUUGAGUUGGAGAGAGUCAAUGAUACUUACUAGUACUGUGACGGUGUACUCGCCCUCUUUUGGGGCCCUCUAUUUUUCAUAUUUCGGUUGAGGUGUGGCACGUGAUAAUCGGACAAGGCUAGGAUGACUCUCUUCCCAAGGUAUAUGUUGGACACCGCUUCUAUCCCGUGGUGACUAACAUGUUGUUUCUUGUUUUUUUAAGCCGGGAAUUGUCCCAAGCUCUUAGUAUUAUUCUUUGGUUUAGAGGCUCCAUAGACUGGUUAUGUCGAGUUGUAAUAAUAGGAGUGUACACAACAUACAUGAAAGGAUUGUUAUUUUGUUUCAGUUUUAUUAUUUAUUUGAAAGGUUUCAUGUACUA